GGGGGCGAUCGGUUUCGACGGGUUUGAGGUCCCUCAGGAAGCGAGCCGAGUUUCCACCUACUCGUAAACCAAGGUGGAGCACAAAUAAGUGCCAAAGAAGAACUUGCCGCUGCUUGACAGAAUGAGCAGCCGUCCUUGCUGGGUUUGAUCGGGGCUCAGUAUAGGGCGUAAGAUCACCGAUCGGACAUCCAAAGUUUUGCCUUUUCGGCUUUGGAUGGCAUGUUAGAAGAGGCUAGGGUAGUGCACCUGUCCGUGGGUUACACUACCCGACAUUAAAAACACGGACUGCGCUCGGAGAUGUCUGAGGGCACUCACUCUCGGACGGGGGUUCGAUUCCCCCCGCCUCCACCA
This 351-nucleotide transfer-messenger RNA is filed under the name Thermotogae. RNAcentral's name for it is "HyVt-16 sp011043375 Standard tmRNA". It matches the Rfam family "transfer-messenger RNA". From Rfam's summary of the family: Bacterial tmRNA, also known as 10Sa RNA or SsrA, is named for its dual tRNA and mRNA-like properties. Its role is to liberate the mRNA from a stalled ribosome. To accomplish this part of the tmRNA is used as a reading frame that ends in a translation stop signal. The record is from RNAcentral. Lineage: Bacteria; Thermotogati; Thermotogota. RNAcentral also lists the same sequence under 1 other name.